Molecule: ribosomal RNA, 492 nt
Filed under: uncultured bacterium
Lineage: Bacteria
Description: partial 16S ribosomal RNA
Rfam family: Bacterial small subunit ribosomal RNA
Source: RNAcentral
AGUGAACGCUGGCGGUAGGCCUAACACAUGCAAGUCGAACGGCAGCACAGUAAGAGCUUGCUCUUACGGGUGGCGAGUGGCGGACGGGUGAGGAAUACAUCGGAAUCUACUUUUUCGUGGGGGAUAACGUAGGGAAACUUACGCUAAUACCGCAUACGACCUACGGGUGAAAGCAGGGGAUCUUCGGACCUUGCGCGAUUGAAUGAGCCGAUGUCGGAUUAGCUAGUUGGCGGGGUAAAGGCCCACCAAGGCGACGAUCCGUAGCUGGUCUGAGAGGAUGAUCAGGCAAACCGGAACUGAGACACGGUCCCGAACCCCAAGGGAGGCAGCAGUGGGGAAUUUUGGAACAUGGGCGCAAGCCUGAUCCAGCCAUACCGCGUGGGUGAAGAAGGCCUUCGGGUUGUAAAGCCCUUUUGUUGGGAAAGAAAAGCAGCAGGUUAAUACCCCGCUGUUCUGACGGUACCCAAAGAAUAAGCACCGGCUAACUUCGUG